AGAAAGUAGGCUUCGGCCUACCGGUACAGUGGCAGACGGGUGAGUAACACGUGGGUAACCUGCCCGGAGGUGGGGGAUAACCCUUCGAAAGGAGGGCUAAUACCGCAUAACACCUCGAUUACUUCGGUGAACGAGAUCAAAGCAUGCCUCUACAUGUAAGCUUGCGCCACCGGAGGGACCCGCGUCCCAUUAGCUUGUUGGUGAGGUAACGGCUCACCAAGGCUGCGAUGGGUAGCCGGCCGGAGAGGGUGAUCGGCCACACUGGAACUGAGACACGGUCCAGACUCCUACGGGAGGCAGCAGUGAGGAAUUUUGCGCAAUGGGCGAAAGCCUGACGCAGCGACGCCGCGUGGAGGAGGAAGGUCUUCGGAUCGUAAACUCCUGUCAAGAGGGAAGAAUUCAGGCGGAAUGAAUAAGUCCGUUUGUUGACGGUACCUCUGAAGGAAGCCCCGGCUAACUCCGUGCCAGCAGCCGCGGUAAUACGGAGGGGGCUAGCGUUGUUCGGAAUUAUUGGGCGUAAAGGGCGCGUAGGCGGCCCGGCAAGUCGGUCGUGAAAUCCCUCGGCUCAACCGAGGAACUGCGGCUGAUACUGCCGAGCUUGAGUCCCGGAGAGGGUAACGGAAUUCCCAGUGUAGCGGUGAAAUGCGUAGAUACUGGGAGGAACACCAGUGGCGAAGGCGGUUACCUGGACGGGUACUGACGCUGAGGCGCGAAAGCGUGGGGAGCAAACAAGAUUAGAU
Molecule: ribosomal RNA, 740 nt
Filed under: uncultured bacterium
Lineage: Bacteria
Description: bacterial SSU rRNA
Rfam family: Bacterial small subunit ribosomal RNA
Source: RNAcentral